Molecule: long non-coding RNA, 428 nt
Filed under: Fukomys damarensis (Damara mole-rat)
Lineage: Eukaryota; Metazoa; Chordata; Mammalia; Rodentia; Bathyergidae
Description: lncRNA (ENSFDAG00000021709.1)
Source: RNAcentral
CGAGGCUGGGGCAGCGGGCGGCAGCACUCUGGGCGGUGCUGGUGCCCAGCCCGGAGUGGAGAGGCGAGGCGGGAAAGUAAUUAGAAACAGUUGUACAAGCAGAUGGUUUAUUUUGACAUUAAAAAAAAAAGUCAGGUUCGCAGAUUUGAGAAAAAUCGUUUCUUUCUUUCUUCAAGUAGAGGCCCCAGAAGUACUGACAAGAGAAUAUUUGAGCUGGCUGAUGCUAAAGGGGCCAUUCAAGGAAUGCUGCAAGUUGGAGAGGAGACGGGGCUCCUGGUGACGCCUGCCCCCGAAGGAUCAGGAUGGGGAAAGGAAUCGCUCUGCCCAGUGGCCUUCCAAGCAAAGCAUCAUUGUUUUUUCCUGACAAAAUAUUCCAUCCUUUGGAAAUACCUGCUUUCUCCGCCGUCCUGGUUUGUAAUAGCUCCAGG